UCCUUUUAUUCACCUUCUGACCGACCAAAGAUUGAUCUGAACAUCUUCGUCAUUCUCUUUUUUACUCUUUUCACUGGAGGACACACGCUCUUAUGUUAUAAGUGUACAAGUAUCACUGGUUAUUGUGUGAAUGCAGUGGUGACAUGUCCCCCUGAAUAUGCAUGUACAAGUCAAAUAGAUGUGAAAUCCAAAGGUGGAACUACACGCAAAAUGCUGAAGAAGGGCUGUGAUCGGCCACUGGUCUGUGUGAACAAUUACUAUAAUGUUGGCGUUGAGAGAAGCUCUGUGCAGUGUUGUAACACAGACCUCUGUAAUACAC
Triplophysa dalaica is the source of this 319-nucleotide long non-coding RNA. RefSeq lists it as uncharacterized. NCBI's taxonomy places the organism in Eukaryota, Metazoa, Chordata, Actinopteri, Cypriniformes, Nemacheilidae. The transcript has 3 exons. The record is from RefSeq and is a predicted model, not a curated record.